Molecule: ribosomal RNA, 385 nt
Filed under: uncultured bacterium
Lineage: Bacteria
Description: bacterial SSU rRNA
Rfam family: Bacterial small subunit ribosomal RNA
Source: RNAcentral
GAUGAACGCUGGCGGCGUGCUUAACACAUGCAAGUCGAACGUGAGGGUGCAGCGAUGUGCCUGAAAAGUGGCGAACGGGUGAGUAACACGUAGAUGACCUGCCCUGGAGUGGGGGAUAACCAUUGGAAACGGUGGCUAAUACCGCAUACAUCCGGAGAACUGGGAAGUUUCUGGGGAAAGCUCUGGUGCUUCAGAGGGGUCUGCGUCCGAUUAGCUAGUUGUGGGUAAAGGCUCACCAAGGCGACGAUCGGUAGCUGGUCUGAGAGGACGAUCAGCCACACGGGAACUGAGACACGGUCCCGACUCCUACGGGGGCAGCAGUGAGGAAUAUUGGGCAAUGGGCGAAGCCUGACCCAGCAACGCCGCGUGGAGGAAGACGGCCUUC